UCGCCUAAAACCAUCCACACUGGAGCAUCCGAGCCCCAAUUACAGAAACACUCAAUUCAAAAUAUAUAUAUAUAUAUAUAUGUUUUUUGGAAAAUAAAAAGAGGGAAGAAGAGGAACCUUAUCCCAACCAAAAUCAUUCCAGACAAGAGACAUGUUGUCUGAAAUUUUGAAAGGUCCAUUUUCAAAAAACAAAGCCAAUUCACUGCUGCAUCCUGGCCCUCCUGUUAACCAUAUUACUACUGGAUCAUUCUUGUUGCUUCUUGAUUCAAAGAAAAAAUAAAACAUCCUAGAACAAAACAAAAAAUAUAGCAUUAAUAAAUUGAAACCAACAUCCUAUGAUGAAGAAUGCAAACUCCAACGAGAUGUAAGAUAUAGAGGCAACAAAUUCUAGCGCGAACAUCAAUGGUUGAUUACAUGACUCAAACAAACAAUCUAUAAGUCAAGCAGAGACAACUUAUUACGUUGCUCCAAGAUUCCCUUCUAAAUAGAAAAAACAAAUAAGAAAGGGGGAGUUCGACGGAUAAAAUAUUUCGCGUUCAUGCAAAGUAUAAAGAAAGACUAUACAUCCCAAGGAAAUGUAAUAUUCCUGAUUCCACGACUCGAACCAGUGAUCUAUAGGUCAAGCUGAUCUAUAGGUCAAGCAAGAAAAAACUUGUAGAGUUGAUCCAACGCUCCCCUUCUUUAAAUAAAAAAAAAAAGAAAUGCUAGGACAAACAAAAUAUUUCGCGCUCAUGCAAAGUCAGAGAAAGGACCGCACCUCAAGGGGAUAUAAUAUACUCUAAUCAUCCUAUCUUGACACAAACAUCAGUCAAGCUAAUUUAGAUAUAAAAUAAUUUUACCGUUGCUCCAAGAUUCCGUAUCGAACAAAAACAAACUCAAUGAUAGUAGCAUUGAAAUAUAAAUGCUAAAAAUAUUUAUACACAUUUAUCAAACCUUGCAGAUUUAGUAUGUACAAGAGGAAAAUAACCAGCAUGAUGACCUAAGUGUUGAACAGUAGAACCAGAAUCACCAAUAUAAGAUAAAUUCAAUUUCUUCUCAAAUAAUUUCUCCUCAUAGAUAUUGACAAUAUUUUCCUUUGAAGAAACAAUAUUUAUAUCAUGUUUAGGGAACAAAUUAAGUUGCUUAAUGAGUUUUUCAGUCAUAGUAAUAAGCUUAUUAUCAUCAUCAUGAGAAGAAAAUAAAAAUUUGGAUGAUAAUGAAAGAGAUAUUUGAGAAAAUGAAAUAAGAAAUAAUAUAACAACAAAGAGAAGAGUGAAUGAAGAUGAAGACAUUAUUUUUUUUGGACAAGAUUUUGUAGGAAGAAUAGAAAUUUAUUUAUUUAUAAGGAGAGAAUAUGAGUGUGAAAUGAUUUAUUGUUAUUUAUUUACUUUCUCCGUUCUUAAAUAAGUGAUGUUUUAGUCUUUCUCUUAGAUAAUCAAGAAGACAUUAAUAAUGUUCUUAUUUUAUUGUUCUUUAAAGAGAAAAUGCUCUAUUUCCAUCUUGAAUUAUACGCGAAAAGACUGAGACACAUCCGAACUUUAGGAGGAUCCUAUUAUUCCCGGACUAAUUAAAAUCAUAUUUUUGACAACCUUAGUGCCUAUGUGGCACAUAUGUGGCACAACAUACUGAAGGGUCCACGUAGGCACUAAGGUUGUCAAAAAUACGAUUUUAAUUAGUCCAGGGGUAAUAGCACUUUCCUAAAGUUCGAGUGUGUCUCAACCUUUUCGCGUAUAGUUCAAUGUGGAAAUAAAACAUUUUUCCUUAUUUAAAUAAAUGAGGUUUACAGAAGAAACUACAAAAGAGUUACACUUUUUUCAAGAUAUUUAUCAAGGGUAAGUUAGUAAAAAAACUUUUUAUUUUCUUAGAAUAAGUCAGUUGAAACAUCACUUAUUUAAGAACGGAGGAAAUAUUAUUAUAAGAGUGUGUGUGUGACAGAGAAACAUGGGAUUUUAAAAUUUAAUGGUUUGUUUAACAAUGCUAUAAAUUUGGACAAUUAUCAAUUGUUGGUGGGAAAAUAGGUGCAUGAAAUAAGGAAUGCUAUAGCUUAUAUUUUCUCUAUUCACAUCUUUUAGGGUUUUAUCUAUUUUAAUUUAUUAUAUUAUAUAGGGUUCGAUAUUAUUAUAUAUUUAUAACAAUAAUAAUAUAUAUAACAUGAUUUUAUAAGUGAAGUCUGAGAAAAAUGUGAUAUAUACAGACCUUACACAAUAACCAUUUGUUUAUAGUUUUAUGAUCCUUAAGUUAUUUGACACAUUUUGAUUUUGAUCCUUGUGAUAUAUGAUGGAACAUAUUUAGCAUCUAAUUAAUUACAAUAUGUUAAUUAAUUGAUACUAUAAUUAACAAUUUAAGUAUGUGGUUUGAGCAAAUCCAAUUUAGUCACACAAAAUUGUAUCAUCAUAUUAAUUGAUUGUGAAAGUACAUAACUCUUGCAAUUCUCCCUUUGUUUUCUACCCAAUGUCCGAUAUCUGUAUCAAAGCUUCACUAAUCUAAAUACGUAUUGAGAAGUCAGACUAAUCGGAAUUCAUGUCAUUUAAGUAUCUUAUUUUGAAACCGAACUAAUCCAUAUUCGCACCAGAAAGUCUCAUUUUGGGGUCUGGCUAACUUAAAUUCACAUCGAAAAAUCUUACUUUAAAGGUAAAAUGUUCCUUAUCAAAGGCGACUCUGUAUUCAGGGUUCGAGAUUAUUCAUAUUGCUUUUAAUUAGUGAAACGUGGCCCUUAAAAAAUUGCAUACGCAAGGUUAAUUUAUUCUUGAUUAAAGAAAUCAACAAGUUAUUUAAUUAGGAAACUUAAAAUGUCAUGCUAGCUUAUGUUUCACGUAAUAUAAUCUGUAUACUAAUAUAUGAUAUUGAUAGGUAACACUUUACCUUUAAUACAAGAUUUUUCAGCACGAAUUUGAAUUAAUUUAACUAUAACAUAAUAAGAAUUAGCGACGGAGGUAAAAUGGGAAGUUUAUCUGAACCGAGGGUGUUAUGAUCGGAUAGAAAUAAGCAAACCACAAGCAAAAACAAAACAACACACAAAUUUACGUGGAAACCCUUGCAGGAAAAACCACGGACAGAGGCAAAGGAAUUUCAAUUCACUAUAAUGGAUGGAGAAUACAAUGAGGAGAAUGACGUGUUUUAUGAAUAUCCAAUAACGACCCACUAAUUGCACUUAUAUAAUAUACGUGUGUACAAAUAAAUCCUACACCCCAAAACAUACAGGCCCAAUCCCUACGCUACCAUCGUGAAAAAUCACAAACAUGAGUCGCACCGCGAACUUUUCAGAGUCAGAUCAACAGAAUUUGAGUCACAAACUCUAAUAGAGGGUCUAUUGGAAACAAACCAAACCUGUUUAACCCCUCGGGAUAGUGAUAAGGUCAGUGUACGCACUGGAAUUUGUUGCAUGGUACAAUGUUUUGGUGAGCUAUAUGUAGAGGAUUCUGACUGAUUGAGAAUGCUUAAUUUUAUGCAGCUGCCAUAUGGAGUGAGAGAUGUCGAAAGUCACCUUGUCCCAACCUAAAAAUGGUAAUGCACGACGAGUGGUACCAGUUUUUCCAUCGCGGACAGGUUUUCAGCCUGUUAUCGAGACCUUGAGGGAAGUUUAUCUGAACCGAGGGUCUAUCGGAAACAAACAUGUUUACCCCCUCCUCAGGAUAGGGAUAAGGUUAGCGUACGCAUGCACUACCUUCCACAGAUCCCAUUUGUGUGAUUACACCGGAAUUUGUUGUAUCUUACAAUGUGUUGGAGCCUUGGAGUAACUGGUAAAGUUGCUGCCAUGUGACCGAGGUCACGGGUUCAAGCCUUGGAAACAGCCUCUGGCAGAAUUGCAAGGUAAGGCUGCGUGUGCACCGGGCUGCCCUUUUUUUAAUGUUUUGGAGGUGAAGAUGUUGAAGGUCACCUUGUCCCGACCAAAGAAUUGUAAUGCACGACAUAUAUGAGCGGUAUCAGUCUUGCCAUCGCGGACAGGUUUUCAGCCUGUUAUCGAGACCUUGAGGGAACUGUAUCGAGCAAGAGGGAGUUCAUAUAGAGCUAUUGCAUUCAAGCGUUUUUGUGUCGAAUGUUUUCUUGAGAAACCUUUAUGGUUGUGUGCAUCUCCAUCAUUCCAUUGAUGGCGCCUACCUUAUCCCCCAGUAGGCAAGUCAAGCCAAAGCCCGGAAUAAUAAGUAACGGCCUAAUAGGCAGAAAUCAGAAAAGAUCGCGUAUAAUGAUAGCAAUAGUAAUAACAAGUAACAAACAGAAAGAAAACAUAUCUCAUAUACUAAAACGAGGGAAGGAAAAGGACCAAAUACACAAAAGAAUCCCUCCCAAGACCUGAUAAGGUCGGUACUAGAGCCACUACUAAAAUUUACCCAGAGUACUAGACAGAAUCCAAAACAUAUCAAAUAUACACAAGCAGUCUCGAGUACAACUUACGGAGGACAUGACCCUUGAUAGGAAAGUGUGGAGGACGCAGAUUAGGGUAGAGGGUUAGGGGGUGGGAGUGCGUCGGUAAUAGUAGGAGAGCGUUCUUUUGUGUCUGGAGUUUCUUGUUCGUGGUAUUGUGGUUGUAGUAUUAUCUUGUGAUUAAUGGUAUUAGUUUAUUUUGCAUACGAUACUAGUUUAUAUGCUCUUUUGUGUUUGUUAUACUGUUAGUUUAUUUUGCAUACCAUACUAGUUUAUAUGAACUUAUCUUUUGUGUUUGUUAUACUGUCAUCGUUCCUCAGCCGGGGGUCUAUCGGAAACAACCCCUCUAAUUCACCUGAGGUAGUGGUAUGAUUUGCGUACACUGGAUAAGUUGUUGUUGUUGGUCCUGCUACUUCAGCGUUGGAAGUGUAAUUACCAUGUUCUGUUAGGUUGGGAAAAAAAUCAAUCUGUUUGUUAUCUGAUCUGCAAUAAUGUUGAGACAUCAUCGAUUGUCCAGGCACAGAAAAUACUGAAACGAUCAGUUUGUCGACGUCGGUUAAGCUAGAAUCAAAAUUACUUAUGUUAGAUCAAGUGUUUUGUGGAACCUCCUUCCACAUAACAAAAUUGCAAACGAACAUUGAAGAUUGUUAUUGUUCACCAGAAUAGUUAUAUAUGAUCUUUGUUUUCGUCAGUUCUUUGUUGUAUUGAAUACUGUGUUGAGCACAGUGCACUGUUGUCAAAGGCGAGCUUAAACCCUGUAGUGAGGCUCAAAACGUGUUGAGCGCUUUCCCUCGCUUAAUGUGCACUUCAGUAUGUCAUCAAAUUUCUAAGAACUUUUCCUUGCCUGUGAACCUCUUCCGAAGAAGCGAUGCUAAACAGUUGAUGUUUCCUGUUAUCUUAAACUUUUUUCAAUUUCUCUGUUCAUAUAUUUGUUGUUCGUGCUUAUAACUAUUACUCUUGGACUAAAGCAUAUAAGUUACUACAUUUUCUCCCUUUGCACCUUUUUUCAUUGACGCCCACACUUAACUUGCUUUGCGCUCAGAGCCCCAACAGACCUUAAAGCUUUUCUGCGUUUAUUUUUCUUUUGAUAACACGCCACAGUGCCCUUAAUGCAAGAUGAAUAACAAAUCAUAAGAGUAAACACUGUGCUUCACUAUAUGUUGUAACACUUGAUCCAAUAUCUUUGAAGAAUAACAUUCACCUUAAAAAGGUGAAAUGUGUGUACAUGAUUGUAAAUGUGUUCAGUAAGUGUGGUUCCUGAUGACCUGCGCCUAGGACAAUUUGCCUUGAGUCCACCUCUGAAGCAUUUCGAGUGCGGCCUUAGGUUGGUCCAUCGGCACCAUAUGACCUGCAUCGUGGACCUUGAGGAAAGUCAGCGGUCCAUAGCUCUUUUGAAUAGCUUUCUCCUCACCGUCUACUGUGAAAGGAACCGAUGGUGCAGCCCCAAAGCCUUUUUUCCCUGACCAUUGUACGGCGUGCACCCAAUUUGAGUUCCCUGUUCCGGUCCAUUCCAAAGAAACAUCAGUUUAGUCGUUGAUUGGCAUUGUCUAUAUUGACAGGUGAAUGAAUUAAGCUUACCGAGCCAGUUGCAGAUAAGGUCAUACUCUCCAGCGUAAAUGAGUAGAUUGACACCGUCUUCAAGAAGUGGAGGAAUAGGGACUUCAAGAUUCUUCAUCCAGUCCAUCUCCAUCGCCUGAUAAACUGAAGAACUACACGAGACAAAAUCAAUAUCGUUGGGAACACCGAGGGAUUUCUUAACUUGGUUGUCGUUGAGGUAAGUAUCCAUUCUCGAGAAGUCAUAGCAGAGUGAUCCCUGACAAGUCUUCCGGAUAUCAUAGUACUGUAGGUAACAAGUCACAAAAAAACCAUUUGAUUGUUGUAGUUAUAUGACACCGUUGUCUCAUUAGCAAAAAAUGAAAGAAGUUCCGCGUUCUUACAUUUAUAUUGCCUGCAAUAUCCAGUAUUCUGUUGAAAAUGCCUGUGCAAUCGCUAAAUCCGGUCAAACAAGCAUCUUCACUACCAUUUGCUGCCAAUAUUUUUCACAGAAUUAGCUGAGACUCUACCCUCCUCAGACACCAUUCACGGAAUUACAUGCACUGACAGUGUGUUGAGUGGGAUAAAGACUUACCGCAAAGCUUAAUGUCUUUUUGACAUUGUGGAUAUAAUUUGUUUAUAUUAUCGUAAUCGUCUUGAUCGAUCAAUUUCAUAUCCAAAGCAUAGUCUGUAUAAGCUUUGUACUGGAUUUCUGGAUUGGUAAGUCCAUUACCAAUGGCAAAUCCCUGAUCAAAAUGUCAUGUAAAAAACAUUUAGUCCUACCAAAACAGGUCAAAAAAUCCCGAUGCAUGCACUAAGCUCGCGCUAUGCGUGGGGUCCAAGGAAAGAUUCGACCACAAGGGCCUAUUGCACGAAGCCUCACCCAAGAGGAUGCUUUCAUGACUCAAACCCCGUGACCUCCUGGUCACAUGGCAACAACUUUACCAGUUAUGCAAAGACUUCCGUUCACGAAAAAACAACUUGUCAUAGAAAGUACCUUGAGGUUUAUGUGAAUUCCUUCUUUAUUUUUGUUUCCUCGAUGAACACGAGAAGCAAAUGCAGGAAUAUAAUGCCCAGCAUAUGAUUCUCCAGUAAUGUAGAAAUCAUUCUUUACAUACUCAGGAUGAGCUUUGAAGAAGGCCUAUCAUAUCGUAAAAUACAUCGUAUAUUUCGAAUUAGUACUAAUCGAGAUGACAACAACAUAUCCAAUGUAAUUUAGGAAAGAAGAAAGGUGAACAAACCUGUAAGAAAUCAUAAAGGUCAUUGCUUACACCAGUUUCAUCAUGACGAAUGUCACUUUCAUCAGAAGUAUAACUAAAACCAGUUCCUGUUGGUUGAUCAACGUAUAUAAGGUUUGACACCUGUCGAUUCGCAAUAAGUUAUGGUAAUAUAUAUUAUUUUUUCAAAUUUAACUACUGCACACCAUAGUAUAAAAAUUAUUUAUACUACUAUUUUCUACUAGUGAAAAUACUUCUUAUUUUCUACUAAUUUAAGUCACAACAAAUGAAUAGCCAACAGUCAAAGAUGAUUAAUUAGUUGGUGAAAAGAAACUUUGCAUGAAAGAAAAAAAUUCAGUCAAAAUUAACAACUUGCUAAUAUAAUAAUAUCAUAUAUCAAAAAAAAUAUCUAACCAACUUUUCUUGAAAGGAACUUGUUUAUACUAUUAAAUAAAGACAAACCCAAAGUUUGUUUCUUAAAACAAAAGGGCAGGUCGAUGCAUUAAGCUUUCGUUAUACGUGAGGUACAAAGAUCGAUCACAAUGCACGUAGCGUUCGUUACGUUACAGUCAGUUUACAUGAUAGCAACUUUAUCAACAACAAUAAACCCAGUGUAUUCCCACAUCGUGAGGCCUGGGAAGGGUAAGAUGUACGCAGUUCAUACCACUACCUCCGGAGAAGUAGCAAGGCUGUUUCCGAUAGACCCCCGGCUCAAGAUAAGGAAUAGUAAUGAAAUCCUUACAAAAGGCAUGGAACAAGAUGACAAGGCAAUAAAUACGCCACGUAUAGGGAAUAGUGAACAAAGAAUAGUAAGCAUGAUAGCAACUUUAUCGAUUACGGAAAAAAGAAAGAGGAAAGAAGAAGAACCUUGUCCCAGCCAUAAUCAUUCCAGACAAGAGACAUGUUGUCUGAAAUUUUGAAAGGUCCAUUUUCAUAAAACAAAGCCAAUUCACUGCUACAUCCUGGCCCUC
Molecule: long non-coding RNA, 8062 nt
Filed under: Capsicum annuum
Lineage: Eukaryota; Viridiplantae; Streptophyta; Magnoliopsida; Solanales; Solanaceae
Description: long non-coding RNA (CANN_LNC016714)
Source: RNAcentral